GUAUCUUGAUGUUAAAAUAAACCAGCCACAGUUCCAGAUAGAAAGUACAAUUGGCAGCAUUUGCUUUCUCAUGAGUUCCUUCUCAAACUCUGGUAGCCCCCACAAACUCCAUUCUUUGUUCUAGGAUGUGAUGUUUUUGUAUUCUUACAGCUUCCACAGGAAAAUAAAGUACUAAAGAUGACAGCUAAGAUGACAGUAAAGUCAAAGGAGUUUCUAAGGAAGGGGAAAAUGAACAUAAAACUGAAAGGCAUCCUACUAUAUAUUUUCAUUUUGUAAACAGCUCUACAAAAAUAGGUAAGAGAAAAGGCAAAAAUGUUCAUGGCUGCAUUUGAUGAAGGGCCUGCAGCACUAUUAAAUGAGAGCGUUAGGUGAAGAGUUCAGAAGAUAAUUUCAUCUCAAAGCAGCACACCACAGAAGCAACAAAG
Long non-coding RNA from Oxyura jamaicensis (ruddy duck), 425 nucleotides. RefSeq lists it as uncharacterized. The record is from RefSeq and is a predicted model, not a curated record. The transcript is spliced from 3 exons. NCBI's taxonomy places the organism in Eukaryota, Metazoa, Chordata, Aves, Anseriformes, Anatidae.